RNAcentral lists this transfer RNA (78 nucleotides) under Enterobacter asburiae. RNAcentral describes it as "tRNA-Pro(tgg)". The stretch from base 5 to 69 matches the Rfam family "tRNA", at positions 5 to 66 of the family's 71-position model. From Rfam's summary of the family: Transfer RNA (tRNA) molecules are approximately 80 nucleotides in length. Their secondary structure includes four short double-helical elements and three loops (D, anti-codon, and T loops). The record is from RNAcentral. Lineage: Bacteria; Pseudomonadati; Pseudomonadota; Gammaproteobacteria; Enterobacterales; Enterobacteriaceae.
UCGCGAGUAGCGCAGCUUGGUAGCGCAACUGGUUUGGGACCAGUGGGUCGGAGGUUCGAAUCCUCUCUCCGCCGACCA